Molecule: long non-coding RNA, 302 nt
Filed under: Gossypium raimondii (Peruvian cotton)
Lineage: Eukaryota; Viridiplantae; Streptophyta; Magnoliopsida; Malvales; Malvaceae
Description: long non-coding RNA (GRAI_LNC009311)
Source: RNAcentral
UAAGAAUUGACACUUUCGGCAUUAGGGUAUAGUAGUUUCUUCGAAAAAAUUUGAAAAAAAUUCGAAAAAAAAUUUAUUUCCAUUCAAACUCAAAAGGAUUGGAUAUCAAGUUGUGAAAAAAAAUUUCGUGAAAAAAAAACCAAAAAAAGUUAGUUUUGAAAAUUCUGUUUGCUGCCUGAAUUUCUGUCAUUGUUAUCUUCUACUAUUCUGCCACACCUAACCCUUUUCACUUCUUUGUUUCAAGCCUACCUUUCUUGUCCUACAAUAUCCUUACCAAGCCCAAACAUCAAAUUUGUAAGCCG